Molecule: non-coding RNA, 21 nt
Organism: Caenorhabditis elegans
Lineage: Eukaryota; Metazoa; Nematoda; Chromadorea; Rhabditida; Rhabditidae
Source: Ensembl
GUUAUCAUAGUAGAUUUCGUA